GACAGAGUGAGACUCUGACUCAAAAAAGAAAAACACUCUUUAUACUCACUCAUUUAGUUGCCGUUUCUGGUGUUCCUCAUUUCUUUGUGUAGAUUCAGUUUUCCAUUGGGUAUGACCUUCCUUCUGCUUGAGGGACAGCUUAGACACUCCUGCAGCAUCUUGAACAUAUGGAACAUGGUCACAGCAUAAGCAUGUGUGUGCUGUCCUCUACUUGCCCUGUCACCUCCAGCAUCUUGAACAUAUGGAACAUGGUCACAGCAUAAGCAUGUGUGUGCUGUCCUCUACUUGCCCUGUCACCUCCAGCAUCUUGAACAUAUGGAACAUGGUCACAGCAUAAGCAUGUGUGUGCUGUCCUCUACUUGCCCUGUCACCUCCAGCAUCUUGAACAUAUGGAACAUGGUCACAGCAUAAGCAUGUGUGUGCUCUCCUCUACUUGCCCUGUCACCUUUGUCAUUUCCAGGUCAGUUACUACAACCUCCACCUCCCGGAUUCAAGUGAUUCUCCUGCCUCAGCCUUCUGAGUAACUGGGGCUACAGGUUGCCUGCCACCACGCCUGGCUAGUUUUUUUAUUUUUAGUAGAGAUGGGGUUUCACCAUGUUGUCCAGGCUGGUUGUGAACUUCUGGUCUGAAGUGAUUCGCCCUCCUCGGCCUCCCAGAGUGCUGGGAUUACAGGCGUGAGCCACUGUGCCCGGCCCCAGGUCAAUUUUGAUUGAUUUUUCCCAUCUCUCCAUAUGGGUCAUAAUGUCCUGCCUCUUUUCAUGCCUGUUUUUUUGUUUUUUGUUUUUCCCGGAUAUUCAAUAUUUUGUAUUCUACCUUGUUUGGUGCUGGAUAUUUUUGUAAACCUAUACAUAUCUUUGCAUUUGUUUCUCGAAUGUGAUCAAGUUACUUGGAAACUGUGUGGUCCUUUUUUUUCAGGCAGGGUCUCACUGUGUCGCACGGGCUGGAGUGUAGUGGUGUGAUCUUGGCUCUCUGCAGUCUCGGCCCCCUGGGCUCAAGUGAUUCUCCCACCUCAGCCUCCCCAAUAGCUGGGGCCACAGGCACGCAUCACCACAUUGGCGACUUUUUGGAUUUUUGUAGAGAUGGGGUUUCACCGUGUUGCUCAGGCUAGUCUCGACCUCCUGGGCUCAACUGGUCUGCCUGCCUUGGCUUCCCAAAGUUCUGGGAUUACAGGUGUGAGCCCCCACAUCUGGCUCUGGGUCUUCUUAUUCAGUGGUGUUUGGUGGGACCUGAACUGUAUUUAGUCUCGUGUUGAUGCUUCCCUACUACGGGGUGAGAACUUCUUCCUGCUCUAACGAUGCUUCCCCACUCUGGCUGCUGAGCACAGGCACUAUUCCCAGCCCUGCAUGGGCUCUGAUCCUGGGUGGGUCUUUCCCUGGCCUUGAGUGUUUUCUUCACGCUCCUGCACUGAUCUGUGCUUAGCUGAAGCCUCCAGGCAGACCCUCUGUGGGUGUCUGGGCUUCUCGGUGCAGCCCCCUCCUCUCCAGCACUCUGGAGCACCUGUGAACUCCAGCCCCUGCCUGGCCACCUCUGUCUUCCCAGUUGAGGGAGACGCCGGUGGCUGCCUGGGUUUUCUCUGCACCGGCCUGGGCAGUGGGCGGGACUGUCCUCGCUGCCGGGUCGCUUCCCCUCUCUCCAGCACCACGGUCCUCGGUUUCGUGAGCCCAGUGCCUUACGUGCUGUUUUCACACCUAUUUUUUUGGUUGCUG
Molecule: long non-coding RNA, 1706 nt
Filed under: Homo sapiens (human)
Lineage: Eukaryota; Metazoa; Chordata; Mammalia; Primates; Hominidae
Description: non-protein coding lnc-FGFRL1-2:1
Source: RNAcentral